This 547-nucleotide ribosomal RNA is filed under the name Exophiala sp. CZ-2011. RNAcentral describes it as "eukaryotic LSU rRNA". The stretch from base 142 to 296 matches the Rfam family "5.8S ribosomal RNA". Lineage: Eukaryota; Fungi; Ascomycota; Eurotiomycetes; Chaetothyriales; Herpotrichiellaceae. The record is from RNAcentral.
UCGUUGCUUCGGCGAGCCCGUCCUCACGGACCGCCGGAGGGACCUUCACCGGCCCUCUGGUCCGCGCUCGUCGGUAGCCCAACCAUUAAAAUCUUUAACCAAACGUGCCUUAAUCUAAGUACAAUUAUUAAAUAAAAGCAAAACUUUCAACAACGGAUCUCUUGGUUCUGGCAUCGAUGAAGAACGCAGCGAAAUGCGAUAAGUAAUGCGAAUUGCAGAAUUCCAGUGAGUCAUCGAAUCUUUGAACGCACAUUGCGCCCUUUGGUAUUCCGAAGGGCAUGCCUGUUCGAGCGUCAUUAUCACCCCUCAAGCCCCUGGCUUGGUGUUGGACGGUUUGGUGGAGGCCCCCUCGGGGGCUCCUGCCCCUCCCAAAGACAAUGACGGCGGCCUCGUUGGACCCCCGGUACACUGAGUUCUUCACGGGACACGUAUCGGAUACAUGGGUUUACGGGACACGGUCUGCCUCCCCUCAGGGAGAAUCUUUCUAAGGUUGACCUCGGAUCAGGUAGGGAUACCCGCUGAACUUAAGCAUAUCAAUAAGCGGAGG